RNAcentral lists this transfer RNA (70 nucleotides) under Rattus norvegicus (Norway rat). It matches the Rfam family "tRNA". Rfam says of the family: Transfer RNA (tRNA) molecules are approximately 80 nucleotides in length. Their secondary structure includes four short double-helical elements and three loops (D, anti-codon, and T loops). The record is from Rfam by way of RNAcentral. Lineage: Eukaryota; Metazoa; Chordata; Mammalia; Rodentia; Muridae.
CGGGAUUUAGCUCAGUGGUAGAGCGCUUGCCUAGCAAGUGCGAGGCCCUGGGUUCGGUUCCCAGCUCCGA